RNAcentral lists this ribosomal RNA (101 nucleotides) under Calocera viscosa. RNAcentral's name for it is "partial 18S ribosomal RNA". Lineage: Eukaryota; Fungi; Basidiomycota; Dacrymycetes; Dacrymycetales; Dacrymycetaceae. The record is from RNAcentral.
AGGAUUCCCCUAGCUAACUGCGAGUGAAGCGGGAAAAGCUCAAAUUUGUAAUCCGUCCCCAGACGGAGUUGUAAUCUAGAGAAGUGUUUUCGGCCGUUGUC